UAAUGAGGAUGAAGAUAACAGGAUCAGUAAGUUUUGCAGCUUUUGAUGAUAUGGAUCAUGCAACCAUGAAUGGCUGCGGCUAUGGCCGAAGAUGAAGUAAAUGAUAUGGAGUAGAGCAUCCAAGUACUAUGCAAUUGUGCUGAUUCUUAUGGACAUUAGUGUAUUUUCUCAGUCACUAAACCUUGCUUUUCUUGUACUAAUUAGCUUCUAG
Molecule: non-coding RNA, 211 nt
Organism: Lupinus albus (white lupine)
Lineage: Eukaryota; Viridiplantae; Streptophyta; Magnoliopsida; Fabales; Fabaceae
Source: the annotation of a GenBank genome assembly